GAUGAACGCUGGCGGCGUGCCUAAUACAUGCAAGUCGAGCGAACAGAUAAGGAGCUUGCUCCUUUGACGUUAGCGGCGGACGGGUGAGUAACACGUGGGUAACCUACCUAUAAGACUGGGAUAACUUCGGGAAACCGGAGCUAAUACCGGAUAAUAUUUCGAACCGCAUGGUUCGAUAGUGAAAGAUGGUUUUGCUAUCACUUAUAGAUGGACCCGCGCCGUAUUAGCUAGUUGGUAAGGUAACGGCUUACCAAGGCGACGAUACGUAGCCGACCUGAGAGGGUGAUCGGCCACACUGGAACUGAGACACGGUCCAGACUCCUACGGGAGGCAGCAGUAGGGAAUCUUCCGCAAUGGGCGAAAGCCUGACGGAGCAACGCCGCGUGCGUGAUGAAGGUCUUCGGAUCGUAAAACUCUGUUAUUAGGGAAGAACAUACGUGUAGGUAACUGUGCACGUCUUGACGGUACCUAAUCAGAAAGCCACGGCUAACUACGUG
RNAcentral lists this ribosomal RNA (497 nucleotides) under uncultured bacterium. RNAcentral's name for it is "partial 16S ribosomal RNA". It matches the Rfam family "Bacterial small subunit ribosomal RNA", at positions 28 to 507 of the family's 1533-position model. The record is from RNAcentral.